Molecule: RNA transcript, 1678 nt
Organism: Aegilops tauschii subsp. strangulata
Lineage: Eukaryota; Viridiplantae; Streptophyta; Magnoliopsida; Poales; Poaceae
Gene name: probable serine acetyltransferase 2
Source: RefSeq, a predicted model, not a curated record
CAAAAGCGCAAUCCUCCAAACGCUCGCCCCGCCGCGCCGCGCCACACCGCCCAGCCACCCACGCGAGCCCGCACGCCCGGCCCUCACCCCACCACCACCGUCCCUUGCUGCCGGUCCCGCCUCGCCGCUCUCCUCUGCUCCCAACCGCUCCUUUCCUUCCUUCCUCCCUUUUGCCGCCCGCGCCCGCACCCCCGCCCCGCUCCGGCGCCGGACCGCCGCGGCGCCGGCGGCGAAAACCUAGAUACGUCUCCCGCCGGGACCCCCGGCGCCCGUGUCCGUCCGUGUCCAUGUCGUCGUGCGAGUGCCUCGUGGUCGAGAAGGUGUCGGAGGACCACGCCGGCGGCGGCGAGGCGGCGGGGGAGCGGCGGGCCGGCGGCCGGGCCCCGCGCUCCGAGGCCAUGUUCCCCAUCUACGUCAUGGGGAGCUCGCGGGCGCGGGCCGUGCUCCUCGACCCCUCCGCCGCCGGGGACCCCAUAUGGGAGGCCGUCAAGGCCGAGGCCAGGUCCGAGGCAGAGAAGGAGCCUAUUUUAAGUAGCUUCUUAUAUGCGAGCGUAUUAUCUCACGACUGUCUGGAGCGGGCGUUGAGCUUCGUCCUUGCAAACAGACUUGAAGAUCCAACCUUGCUUGCGACUCAGCUAAUCGACAUUUUCAAUGACGUCAUGAUGAAUGACGUAGAUAUACGCCGUUCCAUUCGCCUUGAUGCUCAGGCCUUCAAAGGAAGAGAUCCUUCCUGCGCACAAUAUAGCUGGGCCCUAUUAUACCUAAAGGGUUACCAUUCCUUGCAGUCCUAUAGGAUAGCUCAUGUAUUAUGGAAUCAAGGGCGUAAGGUUCUGGCGUUGGCGCUGCAAAGCCGUAUCAGUGAGGUUUUUGCAGUGGAUAUACACCCAGCUGCCAAAAUUGGAGAAGGAAUAUUGUUGGAUCAUGGAACAGGUCUAGUCAUUGGUGAAACUGCUGUUGUUGGCAACUGGGUUUCAUUAAUGCAGGUAGGCCUUUGCUACAGGGUGUUACGCUUGGAGGUACUGGAAAGGAACACGGAGAUAGGCACCCCAAGAUCGGUCAGGGAGCUCUUCUUGGAGCUGGUGCUACCAUCCUUGGCAACAUAACUGUAGGCGAAGGUGCCAUGAUUGCCGCUGGUUCCCUUGUUUUAAAGCAUGUACCGCCUCACAGUAUGGCGGUAGGAAAUCCUGCGAAGGUAGUUGGCUAUACAGAGAAAGAAGAUCCUUCGUUGACUAUGAAGCAUGAUGCAAGGAGAGAUUAUUUUGAGCAUGUUGCCGGUAGUUUUCCUGACAGUAGAUCCAACGGAAGUGUCGUGAAAUAAAAAACUUGCAAGGAGGAAUGGAAUUUUGGACAUUUCUACAUCCUGGUGGACGUACGGCGCUGGAUAUUUGGCGACGCCCGAGUGGUGCUUCCCCCUGCCCAGCAACCCUCCUCUUGUGAGAUCAUGCAGGCGAGCCCGCCAAGGGUCUCCGGAAGCUCCCCAGAUGUAUUUAUCAUGUGCCCUUAAACUGAUGCAAUAAUGUGAAGAUGUUUUCUGUAAAAACUGGAAGGAGUGGUACAGAUAUAUAAUCUGUAGAGAUCUCCAGCGGCAAGCUGUAGAUACCUCAGAUCAGAGCGUGUGACCUCAACUAUGUGAGCCAGCUACACUUCUGGAUCAGCAUCAAAAGAAAGUAGUUAUGCG